AGCUUUGCGCAGUGGCAGUACCAUAGCCGAUGAGGUUUAUCCGAGGCGUGGUUAUUUCCCAGACCCGAUGUCAAGCGCUUGCCUUGGGAAAUAUGUGAGCUGGCAGUCCAG
Molecule: small nuclear RNA, 111 nt
Filed under: Capitella teleta
Lineage: Eukaryota; Metazoa; Annelida; Polychaeta; Capitellidae
Description: U4 spliceosomal RNA
Rfam family: U4 spliceosomal RNA (bases 1-58)
About the family: U4 small nuclear RNA (U4 snRNA) is a component of the major U2-dependent spliceosome. The structure of U4 snRNA from yeast and human has been reported. U4 snRNA presents a k-turn RNA motif in the 5p-SL related to recognition of Snu13 protein.
Source: RNAcentral